CAACGGAUCUCUUGGUUCUGGCAUCGAUGAAGAACGCAGCGAAAUGCGAUAAGUAGUGUGAAUUGCAGAAUUCAGUGAAUCAUCGAAUCUUUGAACGCACAUUGCGCCCUUUGGUAUUCCAAAGGGCAUGCCUGUUCGAGCGUCAUU
This 147-nucleotide ribosomal RNA is filed under the name Alternaria alternariae. RNAcentral's name for it is "5.8S ribosomal RNA". It matches the Rfam family "5.8S ribosomal RNA". From Rfam's summary of the family: 5.8S ribosomal RNA (5.8S rRNA) is a component of the large subunit of the eukaryotic ribosome. It is transcribed by RNA polymerase I as part of the 45S precursor that also contains 18S and 28S rRNA. Functionally, it is thought that 5.8S rRNA may be involved in ribosome translocation. Lineage: Eukaryota; Fungi; Ascomycota; Dothideomycetes; Pleosporales; Pleosporaceae. The record is from RNAcentral.